CCCUUAGAUGUUCUGGGCGGCCCGCGCACUACAUUGGCACUCUCAAUAAGUUCCUAGAUCUAAAACUUUGGGGUAUUCUAUUAAGUGGUGUCGUGACUGGGAUUAACCCUUGCAAUUAUUGGUUACGAACGAGGAAUUCCUUGUAAUCGCGGUUUAUCAGCCCGCGUUGAAUGCGUCCCUGCCCUUUGUACACACCGCCCGUCGCUCCUACCGAGGAAUCGUCCGGUGAAGUUCAUGGAGUGGUGGUUGUUCCAGCUGCUGUCGAAGUGAAAUGGACCUCACGAUUUAGAGGAAGGAGAAGUCGUAACA
RNAcentral lists this ribosomal RNA (309 nucleotides) under uncultured eukaryote. RNAcentral's name for it is "partial 18S ribosomal RNA". It matches the Rfam family "Eukaryotic small subunit ribosomal RNA", at positions 1470 to 1796 of the family's 1831-position model. The record is from RNAcentral.